Molecule: long non-coding RNA, 713 nt
Organism: Prunus dulcis (almond)
Lineage: Eukaryota; Viridiplantae; Streptophyta; Magnoliopsida; Rosales; Rosaceae
Exons: 3
Source: RefSeq, a predicted model, not a curated record
AGUAUUUACUUUUGUAAGAUUGUAAGAAUUCACUGGGAUCAAGGGGAGAACCGAACUAAUCUUGAAAAUUACACAAAGUAAAACAAAAGCUAAAAAGUAUUUUAACCUGAUUGAUGAUUUUCGUGAGUUUCAGGUCCCUUGCUGGAACUUGGCUUGCUACUAGGCUGGGCCAUUGCUUGAUUCUGUAACAAGAAAUGGAGCCAUGAAUACAGGAUCAUUUGCAGGAAUAGGCUGCAUAUGAAAUGGUGGCACAGGGAACCUAGGUCCCAAAUGUGCAGCCGCUGUUGGCAUGGAUGAACCAGCUAGCACAUUCGGAAAUGGCAUCAUAGGCCGGGUCAUGCCCGCCAUUUCCAUUCCCAUGCCCAUUCCCAUUCCCAUACCCAUCCCCAUCGGCAUAUACUGCUGAACACCAGGAAACAUCAUAGUUAGAGUGACAAAAGAUUGAUUCUCCAUAUAUAGCAGUGGAAAACGAGACAAGAGCAUACCUGUACUUGUAACUGAAGUGAUUUCAAGUACUCAAUUGCUUCAUCCAGCAUUGACGCUUUGUCUGACUGAUGAUACAGAAUACACAAAAAAAAAAGAGAGAGUAUUUUUAGAAUGUGAAAAAAGAAACCGCAUUUGGAUCUAAUGGAGAAAGCAAUUCAAAAUGCUUGUGAAAUUCCAUAAAAGAUUUAAUUAGUAUGAAAACCUUGUUGCAACGAGGUAUUAGUUCU